UGGGGAGUAGCCAAGCGGUAAGGCAGUGGACUCUGAAUCCACCAUCGUAGGUUCGAUCCCUACCUCCCCAGCCA
RNAcentral lists this transfer RNA (74 nucleotides) under bacterium. Its description in RNAcentral is "tRNA-Gln". It matches the Rfam family "tRNA". From Rfam's summary of the family: Transfer RNA (tRNA) molecules are approximately 80 nucleotides in length. RNAcentral also lists the same sequence under 1 other name. The record is from RNAcentral.